GGCGCCAUAGCUCAGUAGGUAGAGCAGUGGACUGAAAAUCCAUGUGUCCCUAGUUCAAGUCUAGGUGGCGCCA
This 73-nucleotide transfer RNA is filed under the name Patescibacteria group bacterium. Its description in RNAcentral is "tRNA-Phe". It matches the Rfam family "tRNA". Rfam says of the family: Transfer RNA (tRNA) molecules are approximately 80 nucleotides in length. Their secondary structure includes four short double-helical elements and three loops (D, anti-codon, and T loops). Further hydrogen bonds mediate the characteristic L-shaped molecular structure. tRNAs have two regions of fundamental functional importance: the anti-codon, which is responsible for specific mRNA codon recognition, and the 3' end, to which the tRNAs corresponding amino acid is attached (by aminoacyl-tRNA synthetases). tRNAs cope with the degeneracy of the genetic code in two manners: having more than one tRNA (with a specific anti-codon) for a particular amino acid; and 'wobble' base-pairing, i.e. permitting non-standard base-pairing at the 3rd anti-codon position. The record is from RNAcentral.